Molecule: non-coding RNA, 416 nt
Organism: Triplophysa rosa
Lineage: Eukaryota; Metazoa; Chordata; Actinopteri; Cypriniformes; Nemacheilidae
Source: the annotation of a RefSeq genome assembly
UUCAUCUAAACUCAACAUGACCUUCAUCAGCGUCUUCAUCUGGAUGUUAUCUGUCUUCUGUUUCAGAGAAUCCAGAGGUGACGUGACAGUCAUUCAAACACCUGCAGUGAAAUCUGUUCAUCCAGGAGACACAGUUACCAUCACCUGUAAAACCAGUCCUGAAGUCUAUCAGGGUUGGGGUUAUCAGCCUCUGUCCUGGUAUCAGCAGAAACCUGGAGAAGCUCCUAAACUCCUGAUUAUAAAAGCAAAUGAGUUACACACAAAUACUCCAUCUAGAUUCAGUGGCAGUGGAUCAAACACAGAUUUCACUCUGAGCAUCAGUGGAGUCAAGAGUGAAGAUGCAGGACAUUAUUACUGUCAGAGUUUUCACAGCAUCAGUGGUAGCAAUGUGUUGACACAGUGAUAAAGAGUCGUAC